CCAAGGAGAAGGAUCGCGAGGACCUGAAGCUAUGGAGACCCGCCAUCAUCAACCAUUUAUACUGCACUGCGUCUUCCACCCCAAAUGGCGAUCCCGAUAAGAUGGAGGCCAAGUGGCAGAGCAUGCUGAACCAUGUUCAGGAUAUACAUGAACACAGCUACCCUUCAUUUCCGCAAUGUGCACACCCACCUCUGGAAGGAGAGGGAAGAAACAAGCAGUGGCUGGAACCAGGAUCAACAGCUGCGAUAAAGUUGGAAAGUGUUGCUUCCAGAAAGGCCCUGCUGAAGGAUAUUUGACAGCUUUCACCGCAACACCAAACAUUUUCCUUGGAGGCAUUCCAUUCUUUAAUCCUGCACUUUGCGCCAAAGCACACCGGCUUCUCUUUUCUUGGAAUGUACAGCAGACUUCUCUUAGCGGCCCUCCACUUCAAUAACAAUGGAGACAGAGACGUAGCCCGAACAAACAGUGGUGAGGCACGCUAUGCAGUCCGUUACCCCCGGUUUUGGAAGGGUGGCUGGGUCAUCUUGAACGUCAUUCACGUUUUAAGUCCUAGACUGCCGGGGGACUUCCUUCCUGACCAGUGUUGGGUGCAACACGUAGUAACACCCAACGAGUAACAAAGUAACUCUUUACAGUAACAGAACUACUUUUUUUCGGGUAAAAAAUUGUGUAACGUGCUACUGCUGAAAAUUUGGUAACAAAAACGUUCCUUUUUCAAUUCGGCACAACGUUACUUUUCCCGGGGACAGACUUGACAGCGACUCUGCCUUCUCAGCUUGCUCGCUCACAAGCUCCACAUGAGACGUGACAGAGGCCGGUAGUAGCACAGCAAUCAUGGGAAGCGAGAAGCAGCCAAAGCUAACUUUUCAGGAGUCGAGCCGCCGUAUCCGCUCAGCUUCCUUGGCCGCCUGGUGAAGGUGGGACGUGGCUGUCUGUAAGCGGGGCCCAAAUAGUCCAU
Long non-coding RNA from Perca flavescens (yellow perch), 958 nucleotides. RefSeq lists it as uncharacterized. The record is from RefSeq and is a predicted model, not a curated record. Lineage: Eukaryota; Metazoa; Chordata; Actinopteri; Perciformes; Percidae. The transcript is spliced from 3 exons.